CAGUCGCCGCGGGAAUACGAAGGGUGCAAGCGUUAAUCGGAAUUACUGGGCGUAAAGCGUGCGUAGGCGGUUUGUUAAGUCUGUUGUGAAAUCCCCGGGCUCAACCUGAGAAUGGCAAUGGAUACUGGCAAGCUAGAGUGUGUCAGAGGAUGGUGGAAUUCCCGGUGUAGCGGUGAAAUGCGUAGAGAUCGGGAGGAACAUCAGUGGCGAAGGCGGCCAUCUGGGACAACACUGACGCUGAGGCACGAAAGCGUGGGGAGCAAACAGGAUUAGAUACCCGCGUAGUCCCUGUCUCUUAUAC
This 301-nucleotide ribosomal RNA is filed under the name uncultured bacterium. RNAcentral describes it as "partial 16S ribosomal RNA". It matches the Rfam family "Bacterial small subunit ribosomal RNA", at positions 509 to 807 of the family's 1533-position model. The record is from RNAcentral.